Molecule: ribosomal RNA, 490 nt
Filed under: uncultured bacterium
Lineage: Bacteria
Description: partial 16S ribosomal RNA
Rfam family: Bacterial small subunit ribosomal RNA
Source: RNAcentral
AUUGAACGCUGGCGGCAGGCCUAACACAUGCAAGUCGAACGGUAACAGGGAUCAGCUUGCUGAUUCGCUGACGAGUGGCGGACGGGUGAGUAAUGUCUGGGAAACUGCCUGAUGGAGGGGGAUAACUACUGGAAACGGUAGCUAAUACCGCAUAACGUCGCAAGACCAAAGAGGGGGACCUUCGGGCCGCUUGCCAUCGGAUGUGCCCAGAUGGGAUUAGCUAGUAGGUGGGGUAACGGCUCACCUAGGCAACGAUCCCUAGCUGGUCUGAGAGGAUGACCAGCCACACUGGAACUGAGACACGGUCCAGACUCCUACGGGAGGCAGCAGUGGGGAAUAUUGCGCAAUGGGCGCAAGCCUGAUGCAGCCAUGCCGCGUGUAUGAAGAAGGCCUUCGGGUUGUAAAGUACUUUCAGCGGGGAGGAAGGGAUUAAAAUUAAUACCUGUACUCAUUGACGUUACCCGCAGAAGAAGCACCGGCUAACUCCGUG